Non-coding RNA from Macaca mulatta (Rhesus monkey), 320 nucleotides. NCBI's taxonomy places the organism in Eukaryota, Metazoa, Chordata, Mammalia, Primates, Cercopithecidae. The record is from RefSeq and is a predicted model, not a curated record.
CAGUUCUUGGUGGCAUUAAAUCAGAUGGUGUAUAAGAGUAUUUUGCAAAAACUGUAAAGGAGGAUGUGGCUGUAGGGGCUGGUAGUUCUCAUGAGUAUUACUGCUCUUCUUUCCCACAGCUAAAAGAAUAUCAGCAGAGGAGCAGCCCUGGUGUUCCGGCAGGAGCAAAGACGAAAAAGAAAACUACUGGCCGUAGCCCUGAGACAACCACUUCUGGUGGUUGCCACUCACCUGGGGAUAGCCGGUACCAAGAACUGGAAGUAGCCCUGGACUCAAGCUCCGCAACAAUCAAUCAACUCAAUGAAAACAUAGAAUCAUUG